AGAGUUUGAUCCUGGCUCAGGACAAACGCUGGCGGCGUGCCUAACACAUGCAAGUCGAGCGCGAAAGGGACCUUCGGGUCCCCUGAAAGCGGCGAACGGGUGAGUAACACGUGGGCAGCCUGCCUCAAGGACUGGGAUAACUCCGGGAAACCGGGGCUAAUACCGGGCGAUGUCGUCUGGCGCAAGCCGGCCGACCAAAUGGUAGCUUCGGCCUCCGCCUUGAGAUGGGCCCGCGUCCUAUCAGCUUGUUGGUGAGGUAAUGGCUCACCAAGGCUACGACGGGUAGCUGGUCUGAGAGGAUGAUCAGCCACACUGGGACUGAGAUACGGCCCAGACUCCUACGGGAGGCAGCAGUGGGGAAUUUUGCGCAAUGGGCGAAAGCCUGACGCAGCAACGCCGCGUGAGCGAAGAAGGCCUUCGGGUUGUAAAGCUCUGUCAGGGGGAAAGAAGGCACCUGGGUUAAUAGCCCAAGGGCUGACGGUACCCCCAAAGGAAGCCACGGCUAACUACGUGCCAGCAGCCGCGGUAAUACGUAGGUGGCGAGCGUUGUCCGGAAUCAUUGGGCGUAAAGAGCGCGUAGGUGGCUUGUCAGGUCUGAUGUGAAAUCCUGGGGCUCAACUCCAGAACUGCAUCGGAAACCGGCUUGCUAGAGUCUGGGAGAGGAGAGUGGAAUUCCUGGUGUAGCGGUGAAAUGCGUAGGUAUCAGGAGGAACACCGGUAGCGAAGGCGGCUCUCUGGAACAGUACUGACACUGAGGCGCGAAAGCUAGGGGAGCGAACAGGAUUAGAUACCCUGGUAGUCCUAGCCGUAAACGAUGGACACUAGGUGUCGGGGGUGUCGACUCCCUCGGUGCCGAAGCUAACGCAUUAAGUGUCCCGCCUGGGGAGUACGGCCGCAAGGCUAAAACUUAAAGGAAUUGACGG
This 923-nucleotide ribosomal RNA is filed under the name uncultured Actinomycetes bacterium. RNAcentral describes it as "SSU rRNA". It matches the Rfam family "Bacterial small subunit ribosomal RNA", at positions 8 to 916 of the family's 1533-position model. The record is from RNAcentral. Lineage: Bacteria; Bacillati; Actinomycetota; Actinomycetes.